UACGUAGGGGGCAAGCGUUGUCCGGAAUCAUUGGGCGUAAAGAGCGUGUAGGCGGCCCGGUAAGUCCGUUGUAAAAGUCGAAGGCUCAACCUUCGAAAGCCGAUGGAUACUGCCGGGCUAGAGUCCGGAAGAGGCGAGUGGAAUUCCUGGUGUAGCGGUGGAAUGCGCAGAUAUCAGGAGGAACACCCAUAGCGAAGGCAGCUCGCUGGGACGGUACUGACGCUGAGGCGCGAAAGCGUGGGGAGCGAACAGG
RNAcentral lists this ribosomal RNA (253 nucleotides) under uncultured bacterium. Its description in RNAcentral is "partial 16S ribosomal RNA". It matches the Rfam family "Bacterial small subunit ribosomal RNA", at positions 524 to 776 of the family's 1533-position model. The record is from RNAcentral.